Molecule: long non-coding RNA, 514 nt
Organism: Salvia hispanica
Lineage: Eukaryota; Viridiplantae; Streptophyta; Magnoliopsida; Lamiales; Lamiaceae
Source: RefSeq, a predicted model, not a curated record
CAUUUUUCUUUUUUUUUUUUUGGUAUAUUAAUUAAUCAACAUUCAUUCUUUCUCGAAUAUUGAAAUUUCUUCUUUUUUUACCCUUUUGCCCUUUCGAUCCCCAAAUUCCUAUUCUCUUCAUCUUUUUCUCUCGAUUUCCAGUCUCGAUUCUUCGAUCGCCAUGAGGAGCUUCGUCGGCCUUCCGAUAAUCGCUUUUAUACUGGUGACGCUUCGCCAAUUCGCAGCCGGAGAGGGCGGCGCUCCUUCACCAGCACCGGCGCCUUCCAACGACGGCACUGCGAUUGAUCAAGGAAUUGCUUACACCCUGCUGCUGCUUGCGCUGGCGAUUACUUAUUUAAUCCACUGAGUUUAAUUGUUUUUUAUUCUUUUAUUUUUUUAGAUUUUUAUGGAGAUAAUUUUGGUGGUUUGGGUAUAUUUAUUCAAUUCUUCAUGCGUUGGAGUGAGGAAAUCCAUAUUUGAAGCUUACUUGUAGAUAGAAUUUUAAUCAGAAUGGUAUUUACUUUUACGAUUUAAA